Nematostella vectensis (starlet sea anemone) is the source of this 5722-nucleotide RNA transcript. It is a transcript of the gene named kinesin-like protein unc-104, with no coding region annotated. NCBI's taxonomy places the organism in Eukaryota, Metazoa, Cnidaria, Anthozoa, Actiniaria, Edwardsiidae. The record is from RefSeq and is a predicted model, not a curated record. The transcript is spliced from 55 exons.
CGGUUGUUUGACUCACGUGAUAUAGUUCUUGCUUGUUGGUGACGUGAAUGAAACCCUAAAGUGACGGCCAAAACAUCAAAUAGAACAAGCAGAUCGUUGAGGAACUCAAGGUCAAAAGCUAGACCUACUUUGGACAGCAAUUCGGUCUCAUUUUGUGCUGGGGUUAUUGCAAGGAAUUCCUCUGAAUUCGUUUGGUGUGUCAACCUGUGUGUGGUGCUGUCUAGACCGUCUGCUUGCAAAAAGAGCAUUUGAAUAUUGAAAUCAUGGGCUGAAAAUGGAGAGAGGACAAUGGUAUGGCGGAAUUUAACCGUAAUAGAUUGAAAAAGGAGGUUAGCACGACGAAACAGCAUGUCUUCUGUCAAAGUAUCGGUUCGAGUUCGGCCUUUCAACGGUCGAGAAAAUCUACGACAGUGCAAGUGUAUAAUCGGAAUGCACGGGCCUACAACAACAAUUUUGAAUCCAAAGAACCUGAGUGAGAAGCCAAAGAGUUUUACAUAUGAUUACUCGUACUGGUCACACAACCAGGAUGAUCCCCAAUUUGCAAACCAGCAGCAGGUUUAUUCAGAUAUUGGCAAAGAAAUGCUAGAACAUGCAUUUGAAGGGUACAAUGUGUGCAUAUUUGCCUAUGGCCAGACAGGGGCUGGUAAAUCUUACACCAUGAUGGGCAAACUGGAACAGGCGGGGCAAAAAGGGAUAAUUCCACAGAUUUGUGAGGAACUAUUCCAGAAAGUGGAGGCAGAAACUAAUGAUGAAAUGACAUUUUCUGUAGAGGUCAGUUAUUUGGAGAUUUAUUGUGAGCAUGUCAGGGAUUUGCUGAGACCAUCAGCCAAGAGCAACCUGAGAGUCAGAGAACACCCUGUGCUUGGCCCUUAUGUUGAAGAUCUCUCAAAACUGGCCGUCACAACUUUUGAUGACAUAAAUGAUUUGAUUGAUGAGGGCAACAAGGCAAGAACUGUUGCAGCCACUAACAUGAAUGAGACGAGCAGCCGAUCCCAUGCUAUCUUUAGUAUUAUUUUCACACAAAGAAAACAUGAUGAAUUAAGUUCGCUUACUACAGAAAAGGUCAGUAAGCUGAGCCUGGUUGAUUUGGCUGGAAGCGAAAGAGCUGAUUCUACAGGAAACAAAGGAGAGCGAUUAAAAGAGGGCGCUAACAUCAACAAAUCUCUUACGACACUUGGGAAGGUCAUAUCUGCUCUUGCUGAACAGUCUUCACAUCAUCACAAGAAAAAGAGAAGAUCGGAUUUUAUUCCGUACCGUGAUUCCACUCUUACAUGGCUUCUCAAGGAAAACCUAGGUGGGAACUCCAAGACUGCAAUGAUAGCAGCUGUCAGCCCAGCAGAUAUCAACUACGAAGAAACCCUAAGCACCCUCAGGUACGCGGAUCGAGCAAAACACAUCAUGUGUAAAGCAAUAGUGAAUGAGGAUCCUAAUGCCAAGGUUAUCAGGGAACUCAAGCAAGAGGUUUUACGUCUAAAAGAGAUCUUGUUAUCUGAAGGUUAUGCCGUCGAUCAGCUCAAUUCCAUUCUUGCGAAUCCAGUUCAGCAAAUGCGCCGCACAAGUCAGGAUGGCACCACACUUGAAAGACUCCAGGCGUCAGAAAAGCUUAUUGCAGAGUUGAAUGAGACUUGGGAAGAGAAGCUGCGAAAAACAGAGGCUAUAAAACAAGAGCGUGAGGCGAUGCUGGUGGAAAUGGGCGUGGCUAUAGGGGUUGAUGGACACACGGUUGGACUUUUUCAGCCCAAAAAGAGACCUCACUUAGUUAAUUUGAACGAGGAUCCCUUGAUGUCGGAGUGUUUGUUAUAUUACAUCAAAGACGGGGUCACAAAGGUCGGUAGCGCCGCGGCCAGUAACCAUCAAGACAUCCAGCUUAGCGGUACCAACAUCCUGAACGAACACUGUGUUUUUAACUACGAGCAUGAUAUUGUGCGUAUUUUUCCUUGCGAGGAAAGCCAGACGUUUGUCAACGGCAAGCUUAUUACGGAAUGCACCCCGCUUACGUCAGGCGAUCGGAUCAUCCUUGGUAACAACCACGUGUUCCGAUUCAACUAUCCACACCAAGUCUUAACCGAGCGAAUAAGAAAGUCACGUGACAACGUCAAUGCAGAGUCGACAGCAGUCCCUCGCGGCGAGUGCAGUGAGUGCGAUCAGCCGGUGGACUGGUCCUUCGCCGUGCUUGAGCUGCUGAGAGAGCAGGGCUACAUGAAGGAGAUGAAUGACAGAGUACUUGAGCUUGAGGAGAGGAUUCGUCAGGAGAAGGAUCAGGCGACGGUGCUACUAGAGCAGCAGAGACAGACUUAUGAGAGCAAACUUCAAGAACUUCAAAGACAGGUGGAUUUGUCCUCGUUUCCAUCCAGCGAUUUCGACAGCGAUCUCGAGAACGCGAGUUAUGAAAGCGAGAGUCCGCUGACCGAGCGCGAGAUGAAUCUGGCGGCGUCAGUGAUAGAAAAGUGGCGAUCUUUCGUAUAUACUUCUCUGAGGGAUGACAUUCUUAGCCACGGGGUGCUCUUGAAAGAAGCUAACGCCAUCAGUGUAGAGUUAAAGAAAAAGGUGGAGUUCCAGUUUAUGCUAUUAUCGGACACGCUGUUCACGCCAAUGCCAGAUAGCUUCAAGCCUGAGCUAGGCGACCGCUCUACAGCGGUGGCCGUGGAGGUCCGGGACGAGAAGAAUGGUGCAACGCAUCAUUGGACACUAAAGAAGCUCAGGGAGCGCUUAGCUGACAUGCGGUACAUGUAUGAGACUGAGGCGGACACGUCAAUCAACGUCACAUUCGAGUCGGGAGAUCCCUUUUAUGACGACUUCCCAUGGUUUAAGCUGGUAGGCAGGUCUCUGGUGUAUCUGAGUAAUCUUGUCUAUGGUGCGCACCUAGAACAGACCACGCCCAUCAUCAGUGACUCAGGACGGGUACAGGGUCACAUUCUCAUCCUCACUCGGCCUUGUACAGAUACUGAAAGUGACAGUGAGGACGUCAGCGGACGCGCAUGCGUAAUGUGGUUAGACUUUAACGAGGAGGACAAAGAACAGGCACGGAAUGAAGAUUGGGGUGAGUCACGUGACUCGGGAGUGCCUUACUCCAAAGGAGUCUUGAGCGUGGGCUCACCUUUUGUGUUCAGCGUAACUGUCGUACGAGCAGCUGGGCUCCCUGUGGAUUUCUCCGAUAUCUUCUGCCAAAUAAGGUUUUUGAACUGUUCCGAAGAUGUUGGUUUCUCCACUGAACCGGUUUGCGCGUCAAGAGAGGGUGUCUUGGAAUUCAACUUUACUCAAAAGGUUGGGAUUCUGGUCUCCCGAGAGUUUAUCGAUUAUAUCAGCACCAGGCCCUUACAGGUCGAAGUGUUUGGUCACUAUAGCAACCAUCCUCAACACCAGGCCAGCAUCAGCAUGUCAAGACCGAUUCCCCGUACACUGUCAGACGCUGAUCGAAUCCCAAGACAUGGAUAUGCUGUUCCGGCUCCAAUUUCUGCAAAGGAGGAGCCGCUGAGCCUGCAUUUCGACUUCGUCGUGUGGAUAGAAAUCUUCGAACUAUCUCCAUCUGGCGAGUAUUUCCCCUGUGUUGUCAAGAGGAAGGGAGAUGAUCUUCCAGAAUCCAUUUUCCUUUUACAUCAAGGAAUCCAGAGAAGACUGGUUGUGACGCUAAUGUACGAGAACUCCACUGACAUCCGAAUUAGACGGCUGACCAGCCUUACAAUGGGGCGUGUUCGUACAUCCCUACACCCGCCAACAUCCGGGAAUAGCAGCAAAUCACAUGACAACUUGCUGUCACUCAACGUUCUAUCGCCUCAGAUCCAGUCCCAUCCCAACGACGAUCGCGCGAUAUUUAAAUUUGAGGCGGCCUGGGACUCCUCACUGCACAACUCCAUUUUAUUGAACAGGGUGACGCCUCCUGGCGAAGUUGUGUACGUAACGUUAAAAGCAUACCUCGAGAUGGAUAACUGUUGUCGGCCCACGUGUCUGACUAAGGAACUUUGUCUGGCUGUUUAUAACAGAGACUCCAAGACAAGCCCUUCCAGGUCAAUGUGGAGAGUCUUGACAGGUUCCUCGAAGCCUGCAUGUUAUAAGUAUGGUGGCAUUUAUGAGCUGAAUCUUCAUGCUGCUGACGAGACUGGGCAUGCCCUAAGGCCCCGUAAGAAGGCCGUGGACACGUCCAAUAUGUAUGUACGAGGAGAAGAGAAUCUCAAGGGGUGGAGACCCAAGGGGCCCUCACUGAUAGAUGAACACCAGAAACAGCUUGAUAGAUUCGACAGAAUUUUAGAGGUUUGCAAAGCCCGUCACAUCCUUAGCCUCGCUGACAAUCUCAGAUCCUCCCCCACUUCCAGCCCGGCCACGCCCAAUCUUCAAGAACUCUUCUCCCCCUCGAGCUGCGACUCAGGUGGCCUCAGUCGCUACUCUCUAGCGUCCUCCUGCUUGUCUGUUUGUCCGCUCUCGGUAGGCAAUUCCCCAGAACAGUAUAACAAAGCCUGUCCUGACCAGCAGUCCCUCGUCACAAAGUGUCUUCAGCUGUUGACGAGAAGGGGAUGCAUGAAAAACUUCGAACAAAUUAUUGGGAGCUCUCCUGCUUCAAGCUCAAGAAGUCUCAGUUCAGCCGACGAUGACCGUCGAGCUGACCUGUACUUGCCAGACAUGCGGGAAGUGCGGAAAAAUCCCGUUGUAUCCAGCAAAGGCUAUCUGUACAUCAUGGAGGACAAUUCUUGUCGAUGGAAGCGCUGCUAUGUGGUUGUGCGGAAGCCCUACGUCCUUUUCUACACCCACGAACACGAUCCGAUUGAAUAUUUUGUCAUCAAUCUACGAAAUGCCAAAGUGGACUGCUCUGAAGACAUGGCCAAACAAUCGGACUCGUCAAGGACGCUUCCUUUUACAGACUCAAUCCGAUAGGGAGGAUGAGGUCCAUGAAUGGUUGUACGCUCUCGACCCCUUACUAAUGGGGACCAUAAGGUCUAAGCGGUCCAGUCUUCGACGAGGAGCUAGGUAACAUCUAGGCAACAGGUAAAACAACUACUCCAACAAGAUUCUAAUCCGUGGUCAGCAAAUAGUUCUUAUUUAAAAAACGCCGACCAGCCACUCUUGUUAUUGUUUACUUCGAGAAAUACAACAGUCUAUUUGCAAGAUAGUAACCAUGCAAAUAACCAUCCAAAGUAGUCCGAUAUCGAGUUAGCACAUUGGAUUAAAAGUAUCUUAAAGUUUAUCGCUUGAAUUAGCCGAUGGAAAUGGAUUCUUUGUGUGACUUGGGAUUUUGCAGAAGUGUAAAAUGGCGGCUUGAUUGGCCUUCACUUACCAUUUUGAGCCCCCUCCCCAAGAAUAAAUAGAUUUAUUGAACAUUAUAACAGUCCAUGCAUCUUCUAAGAACCUACUUGUUCUAAGAACCGACUUGUACAUUUCAGGUUUAGUUGCGCGGACUGUGCCCUGGCAUAGCAGCAUAUAGGCUACACUGUAACUUUCGGGGAAAAAUAGAAUCUUACAAUUAAUAUUAUUCCUGUUAAAGGAAUAUUCAAAGAGUAUUAAGGAAUUUUCAAUUGUUUCAUUAGAAAAGUUUAAUUAAACAUCUUUUUAAGAAAAAAUUGAUAGGUAUUUAUUGUAUUAUAACAUUUGAUGGAUACAUUUAUAAUCUAGUGUGUAUUUUUGUAUCAAAAAUGCUUACAAAUAUUUCCCAAAUUUAAAACGGGAAAGUUAAAAUAUUAGGUGUUAUGGAAGGUGUCUAAAAUAAUUUGCAAUAAAGAAUUAAGCGAGUGUA